Microtus oregoni (creeping vole) is the source of this 1637-nucleotide long non-coding RNA. RefSeq lists it as uncharacterized. The record is from RefSeq and is a predicted model, not a curated record. Lineage: Eukaryota; Metazoa; Chordata; Mammalia; Rodentia; Cricetidae. The transcript has 4 exons.
ACUCAACAAAUAGAAGAAUUUAAAAUAUAUCCCAGUGGCCUCAUGUUUCUAACGCUGAGACUCAAAAGACAGGCCACUAUUGCUAGGUCACUUUAGAUCGGUUCUGCUGAUCAUACUUAUGGAAAGUGACUUCCUUACAGAAGAUAUGAAGCAGUGAGUAUUUCAAAGAAUAAGGAUGAUGAUAUUGCUGUGAAUGGAGAAUGCAUCACAGAGAAACCAGUCAUUCAAGUGAAGAGAGAAGAAGUGUUCCAUCUGAAGUAUGAUUCCAAGUAAACCAUGAGUCUGACAUGAACCUAUACUGAUUUGGUGACUGUAUAGAUAGAAAUUCAGUGGAUGAGCUACAUUAGAGAAGUAUUGUGGAAUAGAGAUAUGUUUUGGAGGAAACGCUCAUAGGUCUUUCUAGACGCGGAUAAGAACAAACGGGGUCAUGAGGGAGAGGGAACAGUCAAAGACAACUUUGACACUGAAUGAAAUAUGAGUCACUUACUCAGAUUAUAAACAUUUGGAAAUACAUUAAAAAUCUAACACGGAGCUUUAGGCAAAAUCAAAUAUCAUUAGCAUGCCUAACAUGGUUCAUUUAUAUUAAUAAACUUUAGCUCCUUUAUAAGAAUAAUGAUAAGUUUUAGAAAAAUACCACACAAACCCUUCUCACACUUUGUAGCCAUGUGCCCACAUAUAAUACAAGUAGAUCAAAUAGGUUUUGUUAUCGAUGCGAAUGCUCAAAGUGAUUUCCCUUGCUGUAGACGAAGUGAGUUGAACAUGUUAAAUACCCCGAAGAAAACGCACUGACUCCUCUGAAUUUCUUUGUGGCCAAAUCACCUCAGCAACAAGUAGCAAGAAACACAGAAGCUUUAGGACUAGACGGCUCCCAUGAUCACCUGCGGCUCCCCCAGGGGCUGGGGCAAGGAUAAGGAGGUGCUGGAUGUUUUUGGCAGACGUCCAAACCUGACUCAGCUCUCUCCCCAGGAGCAGCAUCAGGUACACGGAAAGCCCAGCCGUACAUCCCAGAAACGGCGCACCUUCUGCAUAUCCGGCCUCCGUGACAGCGUGCUGCUGUCUGCCAGCGACACCAUCGUUUACUUCUAAAAGUAAACGUUCCUUUAAAAACUAAACCCCUGAACCUUGAGGGAUGGGUUUGAUGAUGACAUACCACUUAGGAAUGAGUGCUCCAAUGUCUAUCAAACUCUGGAUAUUUUCCAGUAUUCUCCGCACAGGACUGGGAUCGACUCCAGGAAGAAACAGUCCUUCAACAUAUCAGCUUUCUUUCAAGCAGAAUGUACUUAAAAUUUUGGAUAGAAUGCCACACAUUGUAACUUGAAGGCCCAUUUUUGGUGACAUUGAAAUAAACUUAUUUGCCACCAGAUUCUUCUAAGAAUGUAUCAUUUGAUGAAUAAGAAACUAUAUCAUAUAAAAUACAUAGUGGGUAGAAUGUUUUCAUAAAAAUAUUCAGAAAAAUAUGGCUGUUGAGAUGGCUCAGAAGAUAAAGCUGGUUUCUGCCGAGCCUGAGGACCUGGCUUAUAUCUACCCCCCCUCAACUCAUUUAGCAAAGAAAAGAACUGGGUCCCAAACUUUGUCCUCUAAUCUUCCCUUCCAUGCUGUGGAGCAUUUGUGUAUGCACUCAGGCACACACUUUUGCA